Long non-coding RNA from Ailuropoda melanoleuca (giant panda), 374 nucleotides. RefSeq lists it as uncharacterized. The record is from RefSeq and is a predicted model, not a curated record. NCBI's taxonomy places the organism in Eukaryota, Metazoa, Chordata, Mammalia, Carnivora, Ursidae. The transcript has 3 exons.
UCUUCAGCAACUAAUUGUGGACCACAAUCAGUUAAUUAGUACAAAAGGUCUUUGUGAUACUCCUACCAUUAUAUACCUGGAUUGCUCACAUAAUCAUCUUACUAAAGUUGAAGGUAUUGAAAACUGUGGAUUGCUCCAAGUACUGAAGUUAGAGGGAAAUUAUCUAAGUGAGCUUCCGUCCUUGGAAAAUCAUGUUCUACUAAGAGAAUUGCACUUGGAUGAUAACAACAUUUCAACUGUGGAAGCACUUUCUUCAUAUUGGUUGCCUUUACUACAAAACCUGACUAUCUCUCAAAACAGCUUGACAAAAGUCAUACCACUUUUUCAUUUUGUUUCUUUGGAAAAGCUAGAUGUCAGCAACAAUUGUCUUUCUG